Molecule: long non-coding RNA, 990 nt
Organism: Lathyrus oleraceus (garden pea)
Lineage: Eukaryota; Viridiplantae; Streptophyta; Magnoliopsida; Fabales; Fabaceae
Exons: 2
Source: RefSeq, a predicted model, not a curated record
CUCUCACACAGAUUCACAGGUCCUCUCUUCUUUCCCACCCUCUCACUCUCCAAAAAAAAAAAGAGAAAGUAUAAAAAAAAAAGAGAAAAAGGAAAAGUUGUACAGCUUUCUUCCUUACCGCGACACCCCACCGUCGCCUCCACCAUCCACCGUGCACCUUUCUUCUUCCCUUAACCAUCACAGCCAUAAACUCACUGUCACUCCCUCACACUAACACCUCAUUUUCGCUUCCGCCGAAACAACCUAGAAUAACCGCCGUGAAUCGCCACCACUACCACUACGUCGCCGCAUCAUCUCUCAACCACCGUCAAUUUUGAACCAUCCGCCAUCUUCCUCAUAUAUUCCGGCGAUAAAUUCCAGACCUCACCGCCGUGUCAAUAACCGAACUCCUUCACACUCAGGUGAAUCCACCUCUGUUCACCGACAUCGCCGCCGCCACGGUUUGCUCUUCUAAAUUCACCACAACCAACCGCGACGCAGAUCCUCUCUUCCCCAACAGGCGAAACCAAGCAACAAACCUUCCAACUCCGCAGUGACAACAAACGACAGCAGUGACACCGCUUCGCUUCGAUGCAUAAAUCUCAAUGCCGAAUUUCUUCGACCGACCAUUCACGACAACAACCUUCGACAUCAUGGUAACAACAUGAUUUAUUUUUUGUAUUAUACUACUUUGUGUAUGUCUUUUUAUUCGAUUCCGCGGCGGUGUUUGUAUGUCUUGUUGUUGUAGAUUCGAUCCCAUGAAAUGUUUUGUUAAUGGAGGAUAUAUACUUUUGUUUAUGAAUUUGAUUGGUGAAGGAUGACGAAGCUCUCUUUUAUUUCCGGAUUUUUCCUCUCGGAUCUGUUAGAGAUUUGCCUUUUGAUAGUGUGAGUUUUAAAUUUUUCUGCAUAAUGGAUACUGAUAUGAUAGUGUGAGUUUUUAUGUUUAAAUUUUCUGCAUAAUGGAUACUGAUAUGACAGUGAAUUUUGUGUACUGCUGUAAAUUUGUGUAAA